GAACUUGACCCUUCAUUUCCUUUCUCAAGAAGGGAAACUGAGGUUCCAAAUAGUAAGGCGAAUCAGGGGCAGAGAAGGCACUGGGGUUAGUUCCCGAGGGUAGAGCCUGGGUUUCCAGGGGGCCCUUCAGCGGAAUCAGAUUCGCAGCGAGGCUCAGGGUACCAAACCACUGUUUCCACACGGCGAGCGCUAAGCAGAGAUCAGAGGCACCCAACUUGGGGGCCGACCUGAGAGCCAUGAAGUCUCCUCCCUUCCCGCCUCAGCCCUCCCUCACCUGACCGGCGCGGCAGCAGCACCUCCAGCUCCGGGGCCGUGCCGCUAUUGAAAUCAUGGCAGGUCCAGAAACUGAUGCUCAAUUCCAGUUCACUGGUAUUAAAAAAUAUUUCAACUCUUACACUCUCACGGGAAGAAUGAAUUGUGUACUGGCUACAUAUGGAGGCAUUGCUUUGCUGGUCUUAUACUUCAAGUUAAGGUCUAAAAAAACUCCAGCUGUGAAAGCAACAUAAAUGGAUUAUAAAUUGUACCACAUCUGUUAAGUUCCCAUGCCUGGAGAAGCUAAUGUCAACUCAAUAUGUGGUAAUUCAAUUUGUACAAUAAAUUAUGAACCUGGAAAA
Molecule: non-coding RNA, 614 nt
Organism: Oryctolagus cuniculus (rabbit)
Lineage: Eukaryota; Metazoa; Chordata; Mammalia; Lagomorpha; Leporidae
Source: RefSeq, a predicted model, not a curated record